This 238-nucleotide small RNA is filed under the name Arabidopsis thaliana (thale cress). Its description in RNAcentral is "ATSL183110". The record is from RNAcentral. Lineage: Eukaryota; Viridiplantae; Streptophyta; Magnoliopsida; Brassicales; Brassicaceae.
UACUUUUUAGAAAUUAAUAAUGUAUUUCGUUUUUUAAUUAAAUUUAAUUAAUUAAAUUAGUAUUUGACUUUUUAAUUUUUAAAGAGAUGAAUUAAUUUACUCUUUAAAUUUUAUUUCUAAUGGCAUACCUAUGUAAUUACUUACAAAAAAUAAGGUUACAUUUAAAAUGUACUUUCCAAAUAAUAUAGUAGGAUUUACAAUAUUUGGAAAAAUAAUUAAUUUUUUUGACUGUCGCAAA